Meira miltonrushii is the source of this 114-nucleotide non-coding RNA. Lineage: Eukaryota; Fungi; Basidiomycota; Exobasidiomycetes; Exobasidiales; Brachybasidiaceae. The record is from the annotation of a RefSeq genome assembly.
GUCCGCAUGACGAAGUUGGUUAUCGUGCGAAGCUAAUAUAUAAAACCUAUCUAGGUAUUAAUCGCCCUCUUCGAGUGCACUUCGAAGUCCCAGGUUCGAGCCCUGGUGUGGACA